RNAcentral lists this small RNA (82 nucleotides) under Salmonella enterica. RNAcentral's name for it is "partial RtT sRNA". It matches the Rfam family "RtT RNA", at positions 50 to 130 of the family's 130-position model. Rfam says of the family: This family represents a bacterial cis-regulatory element known as RtT RNA. The exact function of RtT is unknown although it is thought that it may be involved in changing the cellular response in relation to amino acid starvation. Lineage: Bacteria; Pseudomonadati; Pseudomonadota; Gammaproteobacteria; Enterobacterales; Enterobacteriaceae. RNAcentral also lists the same sequence under 1 other name. The record is from RNAcentral.
GAGCGCAGCGAGAAAGCGUUGCCGCAGGCAACGACCCGAAGGGCGAAGCGCGCAGCGCUGAGUAAUCCUUCCCCCACCACCA